AGCGAACGCUGGCGGCAGGCUUAACACAUGCAAGUCGAGCGGGCAUCCUUGUGGUGUCAGCGGCAGACGGGUGAGUAACGCGUGGGAACGUGCCCUUCGGUUCGGAAUAACUCCGGGAAACUUGAGCUAAUACCGGAUACGUGCGAGAGCAGAAAGGUUUAUCUGCCGAAGGAUCGGCCCGCGUCUGAUUAGCUAGUUGGUGAGGUUAUGGCUCACCAAGGCGACGAUCAGUAGCUGGUCUGAGGAUGAUCAGCCACACUGGGACUGAGACACGGCCCAGACUCCUACGGGAGGCAGCAGUGGGGAAUAUUGGACAAUGGGGGCAACCCUGAUCCAGCCAUGCCGCGUGAGUGAUGACGGCCUUAGGGUUGUAAAGCUCUUUUCGUCGGGACGAUAAUGACGGUACCGGAGGAAUAAACCCCGGCUAACUUCGU
This 434-nucleotide ribosomal RNA is filed under the name uncultured bacterium. RNAcentral describes it as "partial 16S ribosomal RNA". It matches the Rfam family "Bacterial small subunit ribosomal RNA", at positions 29 to 506 of the family's 1533-position model. The record is from RNAcentral.